CUUCUUUUGGGGGAUUUCAAUCUGAUCACUAAAGCGGCGAACAAGAGCAACGCCAACAUCAAUCGCCGUCUCCUUGGGAAAUUCCGCGGGGCCCUUGACUUCAUGCAGCUAAAAGAGCUACGUAUGUGUGGGAGGCGCUUCACCUGGUCCAAUGAGCAAGCAAAUCCGGUCAUGACCAAGAUUGACCAUGUUUUCCACUCCGAUGACUGGGAUUUGCUCUUCCCAAAUGCGCAUCUCCAGGCCAUCUCAAUGACCUGCUCUGACCAUGCCCCGCUAUUCCUUCAGGGGUGCGUCGACAAUGCGAGGAAGCCAUCCUUCAAGUUUGAGGAGUUCUGGAUGCGACUCCCCGGCUUCCAUGAUGCGGUCGCGGCCGCGUGGAACAAGCCCGUCCUAUCCCGGGAUGCCCUCCGUAUGAUUCAUAUCAAGUUGUGCCGAACCACGAAGGCUUUGCGCAAAUGGCAAAAAGAGAGGGUUGGUGUUCUAAACACCCAGAUUGCAGUGGCAAAGGAGAUCAUCUGGCGUCUGGACGUCGCCAAGGAAGGGCGGCCGCUGUCAGAACCUGAGAGGGUUUUGAGGAGACAACUCAAGGCUUCCUACCUUGGCCUUCUCGCCAUCCAGAAGGUCAAGAUGAGAUAG
RNAcentral lists this ribosomal RNA (636 nucleotides) under Triticum aestivum (bread wheat). RNAcentral describes it as "partial small subunit ribosomal RNA". The record is from RNAcentral. Lineage: Eukaryota; Viridiplantae; Streptophyta; Magnoliopsida; Poales; Poaceae.